GAUGAACGCUGGCGGCGUGCCUAAUACAUGCAAGUCGAGCGAACAGACGAGGAGCUUGCUCCUCUGACGUUAGCGGCGGACGGGUGAGUAACACGUAGAUAACCUACCUAUAAGACUGGGAUAACUUCGGGAAACCGGAGCUAAUACCGGAUAAUAUAUUGAACCGCAUGGUUCAAUAGUGAAAGACGGUUUUGCUGUCACUUAUAGAUGGAUCCGCGCCGCAUUAGCUAGUUGGUAAGGUAACGGCUUACCAAGGCGACGAUGCGUAGCCGACCUGAGAGAGUGAUCGGCCACACUGGAACUGAGACACGGUCCAGACUCCUACGGGAGGCAGCAGUAGGGAAUCUUCCGCAAUGGGCGAAAGCCUGACGGAGCAACGCCGCGUGAGUGAUGAAGGUCUUCGGAUCGUAAAACUCUGUUAUUAGGGAAGAACAAAUGUGUAAGUAACUAUGCACGUCUUGACGGUACCUAAUCAGAAAGCCACGGCUAACUACGUG
Molecule: ribosomal RNA, 497 nt
Filed under: uncultured bacterium
Lineage: Bacteria
Description: partial 16S ribosomal RNA
Rfam family: Bacterial small subunit ribosomal RNA
Source: RNAcentral